RNAcentral lists this long non-coding RNA (887 nucleotides) under Homo sapiens (human). Its description in RNAcentral is "HSALNT0358928". The record is from RNAcentral. Lineage: Eukaryota; Metazoa; Chordata; Mammalia; Primates; Hominidae.
GCCCAGUCCAAACUUCUCAGGCCCAGUGUUCACUCUUGACUGCCUGCAGAAGCCCUACAGAUAAAUUUUCCAGCCGCAAAAAAAAAUCUUGUUUAUGCCUUUCCAGAAAAUGUAGCUGGGACCACAGCCAACUAGUCUACCUAUCAGCCAGCUGCUGAGAGGAGCCUGCCAGUCAGCUGAAGGGUCAGUGCCUGCCUUUGACUUUGACUCAGCUGCUGAGGCUACAUGACUCAUCCGAGAGUAAGAUACUCAGGAGACCCAAUGGAGCCUCCUCCUUGAGCUUCAGCUGUAAAUAUCAGGAGUCUCAGCCAUAAACCUAGCAACGGGCGAGAUAUUACUUUUCUCCUCUACGAAUGAGACAUUCCUUUGAAACACCAUACAUCAAACUUAUAAAAUGUUUUAUAUGUGGAUUUUAACAGCUAUUGGGAAUUCGCGGUCUCACUAUGUUUCUUGGAACUCCUAAGCUCAAGUGAUGUUCCCACCUCUCCCUCCCAAAGUGCUUGAAUUACAGGUGUAAGCUACAGUGCCUAGUCCCUUUUUCAUAUUUCUUUAGGUAUAUUUUUUCUGUCUAGCCUAUUUUAAGCAUUUCAAACAAAAAGCCGAUGUCAAUAUAGUAUUCAAAAAUGUAGAUGUUUAGAGGAAGUCAAGUAAAUGUACAGGGAGUGGCAAUGUCUUCCUUAUGAGUAGAGCAUCCACCUCAGAGCAAUCUUUGUCUUGCCUUUAUGUUGAGUUCUAGGAGAAUAAAUAAGCAGGAAGCAAAAAGGAGAGAAGUGGGCUGGAUCGCUGUGGUUCCUUCCUAGAGGAGGCAACAAAUAGGCAUUUGCUCAGAUCCUUAUAUUACACAAAAAGAUGAAUUCCUGAAGCCUGUGAAAUUAAAUAUUUUCAAA